Molecule: ribosomal RNA, 253 nt
Filed under: uncultured bacterium
Lineage: Bacteria
Description: partial 16S ribosomal RNA
Rfam family: Bacterial small subunit ribosomal RNA
Source: RNAcentral
GACGAACCGUGCGAACGUUAUUCGGAAUCACUGGGCUUAAAGCGCGCGUAGGCGGCCCGAUAAGUCCGCUGUGAAAGUCAACGGCUCAACUGUUGGAUGCCGGUGGAUACUGUCGGGCUAGAGUACGGAAGAGGCAAGUGGAAUUCCUGGUGUAGCGGUGGAAUGCGCAGAUAUCAGGAGGAACACCUAUAGCGAAGGCAGCUUGCUGGGACGUUACUGACGCUAAGGCGCGAAAGCGUGGGGAGCGAACAGG